AACACCACUUCCAACCUUGUUGAGCUUGACCUUAGUUCAAACCUCUUGAAGGGUUUGACAUCAAAUCAGUUUGGCUUGGCCAUGAAUUUGCUUGAGCACCUUGACCUCUCCUAUAAUGUGUUCAAGGGUGAAGAUUUGAAAUCAUUCAUGAAUAUGUGCACCCUACGUUUAUUAUACAUGUCUGAAAACAAUAUGACCGAAGACCUUUCGUUAAUUCUUCAUAAUUUCUCCAGUGGUUGUGUUAGAUACUCACUACAAGAGUUGAGUUUGUCAUCUAAUCAAAUCAGAGGCUCCGUACCUGACCUUUCAGAAUUUUCAAAUUUAAAAACGUUGGAUCUUUCUGAUAAUCAAUUGAGUGGGAAGAAACCUGAAGGUACUAACUCUUUAGAAGGUGGUGGUUCAAAAUCAUUUGGGAGCAUAUGUACUUUGGAGUUAUUGGAUUUGUCUGAAAAUAAGUUGAGCGAAGAUCUUACGGUCAUAUUUAAUCAUUUGUCUGGAUGUUCUACAUACUCAUUACAAAAAUUGAGUUUGGCAUCCAAUCAAAUCAGAGGCUCCGUACCUGACCUUUCAGCAUUUUCAAAUUUAAACAUAUUGGAUCUUUCUGGGAAUCAAUUGAGUGGGAAGAUACCUGAAGGCACUAGAUUGCCAUCUCAUUUGGAGCAGUUGUCAAUUAGAUCUAACUCUUUAGAAGGUGGUGUUCCAAAAUCAUUUGGGAGCACAUGUACUUUGAAGUUAUUGGAUUUGUCUGAUAAUAAGUUGAGUGAAGAUCUUACGGUCAUAUUUAAUCAUUUGUUUAGAUGUUCUAGAUACUCAUUGCAACAAUUACGUCUGAGUAUGAAUGAAAUUAGUGGUACUUUGCCUAGCAACCUCGCAACAAUGUUCCCAUCAUUAAAAGAAUUGUACCUUGAUACUAACAAGCUAAAUGGGACAAUUUCUGUAGAUCUUCGAUUUCCAACAGAACUUGAGGAAUUAUCCUUGAUGUCAAACUCUUUGAAAGGUGUGUUUACUGAUUCUCAUUUUUAUAAUAUGACAAAGUUAACAAGAUUGAUGUUGUCAGAUAACUCACUGACGUUAGAAUUUAGUCAAAAUUGGACUCUGCCUUUUCAAUUAUAUAGUAUUGAAUUGAGAUCUUGCAAGCUAGGUCCAUUGUUUCCCAAAUGGCUAGAGAAACAAAACGAAUUUGACACCGUUGACAUUUCAAAUAGUGGAAUAUCAGGUACCGUUCCAAAAUGGUUUUGGACAAAAUUUGGAUUUUCAAAUGAGAAGCAUAUUGAUAUUUCACGUAAUAAUUUACAAGGUACGAUUCCAAAUUUGCCAAUACAGAACUUUUAUGAUUAUCUUAGUCUUGCAUCAAAUCGAUUUGAAGGUCGUGUUCCAGCAUUUUUACGAGGCUCAAGAUUUCUUGAUCUAUCAAACAAUAAAUUCACAAAUUCUUUUUCCUUUUUAUGCUCUAGUGGUGUAGUUGAAACUUUAUACCAAUUAGACCUUUCAAAUAACAAAUUUUCUGGACAAAUUCCAGACUGUUGGACCCAAUUUAAGUCAUUGACUUUCUUAAAUAUGAGUCAGAACAAGUUUUCAGGAGAGAUACCUUCUUCAAUGGGAUCACUCGUUGGACUUCAAGUUUUGUUAUUAAGAAACAAUAAUUUAACAGGUAAAAUCCCUUCCAUCUUGAAGAAUUGCACACAGUUGGUGAUGGUAGACAUAACAGAAAAUAGAUUAUCAGGAUCUAUCCCAAAUUGGAUCGGGAACAAAUUAUCGCAGUUACAAUUUUUAAGCUUAAGAAGCAACUAUUUUCGUGGGAGUUUACCGUUACAAAUUUGUUAUCUAAAAAGCAUUCAACUCUUAGAUCUCUCCCAAAACAACCUAUCCGGAGAAAUUCCCAAAUGCAUAAAAAACUUUUCCUCAAUGGCUCAAAUGACUUCUUUGAGAGAUUAUCAACGUCAUUUUUAUUCCUUCAGCACUAAUUUUACCUCAGGUGGCAGUUCAUAUGAUUUGAAUGCAAUCUUGAUGUGGAAAGGUUCAGAACAAAUGUUCACANACAUGGGAUUAUCACUUUUAAAUAGCAUUGAUCUCUCCAGCAAUCAAUUAUCAGGAGAAAUUCCAAAAGAAAUAGAGGGUUUAUUUGGAUUAGUGUCAUUGAAUUUAUCAAGAAACAAAUUGAAAGGGGAAAUUCCUUCAAAUGUNNNNNNNNNNNNNNNNNNNNNNNNNNNNNNNNNNNNNNNNNNNNNNNNNNNNNNNNNNNNNNNNNNNNNNNNNNNNNNNNNNNNNNNNNNNNNNNNNNNNNNNNNNNNNNNNNNNNNNNNNNNNNNNNNNNNNNNNNNNNNNNNNNNNNNNNNNNNNNNNNNNNNNNNNNNNNNNNNNNNNNNNNNNNNNNNNNNNNNNNNNNNNNNNNNNNNNNNNNNNNNNNNNNNNNNNNNNNNNNNNNNNNNNNNNNNNNNNNNNNNNNNNNNNNNNNNNNNNNNNNNNNNNNNNNNNNNNNNNNNNNNNNNNNNNNNNNNNNNNNNNNNNNNNNNNNNNNNNNNNNNNNNNNNNNNNNNNNNNNNNNNNNNNNNNNNNNNNNNNNNNNNNNNNNNNNNNNNNNNNNNNNNNNNNNNNNNNNNNNNNNNNNNNNNNNNNNNNNNNNNNNNNNNNNNNNNNNNNNNNNNNNNNNNNNNNNNNNNNNNNNNNNNNNNNNNNNNNNNNNNNNNNNNNNNNNNNNNNNNNNNNNNNNNNNNNNNNNNNNNNNNNNNNNNNNNNNNNNNNNNNNNNNNNNNNNNNNNNNNNNNNNNNNNNNNNNNNNNNNNNNNNNNNNNNNNNNNNNNNNNNNNNNNNNNNNNNNNNNNNNNNNNNNNNNNNNNNNNNNNNNNNNNNNNNNNNNNNNNNNNNNNNNNNNNNNNNNNNNNNNNNNNNNNNNNNNNNNNNNNNNNNNNNNNNNNNNNNNNNNNNNNNNNNNNNNNNNNNNNNNNNNNNNNNNNNNNNNNNNNNNNNNNNNNNNNNNNNNNNNNNNNNNNNNNNNNNNNNNNNNNNNNNNNNNNNNNNNNNNNNNNNNNNNNNNNNNNNNNNNNNNNNNNNNNNNNNNNNNNNNNNNNUUAAAAAAAUUAAUAACAUCAAAUUUUAAUUUGUCAUUCACUAUUUAUUAUUUAUGUUUUGUUGUUUUUAAUUUUGGGAAAAUUAAUUAUUUGUUUAAUUUUUGGCAGAGGAAAUCUGGAUUAUUGUUGUGAAGUAGUGUAAAGGAAGAAAUGGAAUUAUUGUUGAAGAUCGAAAGGGUUGUGAGGGUAGCCUACUGAAACGAUAUCAAAAAUCAGACAAGAGAGCUACUCCACUUGGAUUUGGAUUCCACAUAACAGAAUGAUUCCUCUCAAUUCAAAAUUAUGAGACUGGGUUGGUCUCCAAUCCUUUUUUUAAUAUAUAUUAAGGGAGAUUUUGUAAAAAAUCAGAAAAUAAUAUUUUAAAAGUAAUGGUAAUCUAAAUAUAAUAGACUCGGUUCUUUUAAAACUCAUUGUCUCUUUAAAAAUUACAAAUUUUUAUUUUUGAAAAAGUAACAAAGAAUUGUUGUUGUUAACUUAAAUAUUAAUUAAUUUAUAUCUUAGAAAAAAAAAGGAAGUUUCCUUUUUCAUUUGUCAAUAUUUCUUUAUAAUUUGUAACUAAGACAAUUUACCAUAGUGAACUUAUUACGUAUCUGGAUUUUUAUUAUUUAAAUAUUUUUCGCAGAACUUAAAAAAUUUAUAAAACAAAAUUAAAAAGAAUAUUUUCACAAAUUUUUAUAAAUAAAUCACUGAAAAUAUAAAAUUUUCGAAUGGUAUUUGUUUUAUUUCGACAUAGAAAUAAAUAACUUUAUUUUGUUACUCAUUUGUAAACUGUUGGACUGUAUUAAUUUGAACUCUUUCUAUGUCAAAUUAACCAUAUUGCUAUUCAUAAAAGAAGCUAUUGCAAAUAUUACAACUUGUUAAAAGACAAUUGCCUUGCGAAAUGCAUUUUCAGAGUACUUUUUUAAUUUUAUUAUCUUUAGAAUAUUGACUUAUAAUAUUUCACUACUUUUUAAAGAAACAUUUGAUCGAUUAUUUUUUUAUAUAAAAUUGUGGUUUAAUCUAAAAAUUCCAAUUUUCACAAGUCUUCGGAUAAGUCAAUUGAUUGGAAUAGAAUUAUUGUCCCAAAAAAUUUCCCACCGUUGAUAAUGAGGAAAGUGACAAAGGUGGAAAAGUGGAGGACUCCCUUGUGAUUUUAUUUAAAUAAAGACCAAUGUCUAAUUUUUCAAUAAUGACUACAUGAAGUUUCCUUUUUAAUUUGACAAUAUUUUUUACACAUUGUCCCAUUACCCCAAAUUAAUUUACUAUAACAAAGUCAUUUUCUAGUAAUAUGAGAUGACGAUAUCAUAGGAACAACAUAAAAAUGGUGACAUAAGCUUUCGCUAUUAAAAUAUUUUCUUAAUAUUUAGCUGGACUUAAUUAUUUUUUUAAGAUAUCCUUAAAGAAAAAUAUAGACAACAUACGAAUUUCUAAUUGUAUCUAUUUUCAUACAAUAUUUUGUCUGUACGAAUAAAUAACAUUAUUUAUUCGUGUAAAACUAUUAAUUUGUAAUAAUAUGGACUCUUUCUAUGUUGUUAGGAAAAUGAACCAUCUUGGUAGCCACAAAUAAAAAUAUAUUGCAAACGUACAAUUUGUUGGACAGAAUUGCAUUUUGAAGUGCAUCUUUUGAGCACUUUCUUCUUAUCCAAGACAUAUCCAAGCAAGGAAAAAAGUGGUAGACUUUUUGCCUCGGUUCUGAAUCGAGUUAGUUUUUUCCCCUCUAUUGUCUUAGUUGGAACCUAAAUCGAGACAGUAGGAUCCUUCUUCUUUUUUCUUCUUUCGCCACCUUUACGCCUCGAUUCUGAUUUCAUUUCCAGAUUCUAAUUUCAAACCUCCUAACUGAAAAAAAUCAAGAUUGCAAAGACAGAAGCCCAAAAAUUAAUUUGAAAUGAAGUCCAUGUCUCCAAUUCACAAACUCAGAUAACAAAGUUGGAACCCCCAAAUCAGAUGAAUAGUUGAAACCCUAAGUCGCAAAAACAAGAACAGAAACCCCAAAUUUGAAAAUGAGAAACAUAAUUCCCUAAUUCUCAAUUUCAGAAACCCAAAAAUUCCAAAUCGAAAAACGAUUCACUCCGCUGCCACCUUCCUCGCAAUGCGCCACCGCCACCUUCGUCCGUCAUCGCAACCCCAUUCGCACCCAACCUGCAUUCUUAUACGAACUAGGAAAGCCCUAAAACUCAAACAAAAACAAAGGAAGAAAGAGGAGAAGGAAACUUGCACCACGAAUCAGAACAACCAAUGUCCUCGCGCAGUUGUCACCAUUGAAGAAGUCGGAGUUUGAACCUUCGCGGAAGCGCUGCCGCUGUUGGACGCGACCUCGCCGCGCCUCGCCACGUCUCUUUAUGUCUCUCCGGGUCUCACCUAAGAUUAUGUAUAUGAAAGGUUUGAAGACUUUGAUACUCGUUUGGGCAACAUUGAGGAACGUCUAAAUCUUCAAACUCCAAAUCAUCCUCAGUCCUACCUUCUAGAUUUGAUGAUUGUUUUAAUUUCAUUCAUUGUUGUCUUUUAUGUUCCUACAUAUUGUGUGUGCCGUAAUUUCAUUUGUGUAAAUAAAUCCAACCUUUUCAUUAUCUUUUAUUUCAUAAAUUGAUUUGUUGAGGGGAAGAACAAAUUGAGGGGGAGUGUCAGAAGUUGCAGGGGGAAUAGGCCGCGAUUGCUCUUAGAACCACGGCCUAUUCUCCCUACAAACUUCUGACAUUCCCCAAAAGGUAGUUGGGAGGAUUCGGAACGUCAAGGAAUAGGUCGCGGUGUGAGGGGAACCGCGGCCUAUUCCCUGAUCUGAAUAAAUUUUAAAUAUUUAAGGGAAUAGGCCGCAGUUGGCCGCUGAACCACGGCAUAUAGUUUGAAAAAAAUUUCAAAAAUGCCAUUUUGAUUUAUUUUUCUCAGGAGAAUAGGUUGCAAUUAAGUUUUGAAUCGCGACAUAUUCCCCUCUAUUACCGCAGUUAAGUGUUGAACCGCGACAUAUUCCCCUCUAGGUCAAAAAAAUAAAACACACAUGAACAAUAUUGUCCCCUUCGCGCAAACAGUUUUAGAGCAUUGUUUCCAUUCUCCGUCGACGACGCCAUCUUCUACUUCCAUUUUCAAUCAUUUUACACCGUUUAAACUCAAAUUUGUUUGGUGCCUUUGCCAUUUUCAACGUUGUGGAAGAGUUUUAACCGAUCAAAAUAGUCAACUUCCACUUGGAAAUCGUCAACUUCCGUCGUGCCAUUCCUCUCCGCCAUGCCAUUCCUCUCUGCCACGCCCAUUCCAAGUAUUGCCUUUGAUGCCCUUCGUCGUUUUUGCUAUCUUCAACAUGAUUUCUUCGUUCGUUUUUGCAUAAUAACAAUUACUAUUGUUUUGGUAGUGUAGACAUAGAAAAUAUGUAGACAUAGAAAAUUUAGAAUUAUUAGAAUUUGCAUAAUAACAAUUACUAUUGUUUUUGCAUAAUAAUAAAUAUUUAGAAUUAUUAGAAUUUAAUCCUUAAUAGAAUUCCUAAACCUUAUAAUAUUUGAGUAAUCACUAGGUGAAAUUAAUGUUUGAAUGGUAUGUAUGAAAUUACAAGUUUGAUUUUUGUACCUUAUCUUUUUAAGUAAUAUUUAGGAAUGGAUCGAAAUUGGAUUACUUUACCACGCAUUAGUGCUGAGUACGAGAGAGGGGUAGAGGAAUUUAUACAAUUUGCACAACAUAAUGAAGGUACAAAUGAUGAUGAAGUGAAAUUUAGAUGUCCUUGUGUGAACUGUUUGAAUAGGAGAAAGUUGAACACAACCCAAGUUAGAGAACAUCUUAUAUGUCAUGGUUUCCUAAGAUGCUAUACAACAUGGAUAUGGCAUGGCGAAGAAAUGUACUUUCUGACUGACUCCCAAACUGAAAAUGUUAUUAAUUCCACCAUGGAAGAAGAUCGACUGGAUGAAGACAAAUUGAGGACAUGAUCCGUGAUGUUGGCGUAGAAAAUUUUGCCAAAGCUCAUGUGUAAGAGAGGAUGUCGACUGAUGUGGAAACACCUUUGUAUGUCGGUUCAACUAAGUUCACACGUUUGUCAAUGGUGUUAAGGCUCAUGAAUUUGAAGGCGAGCAAUGGAUGGACGGAUAAGAGUUUUACAAAAUUGUUGACGUUGUUGAAUGAAAUGCUGCCAGAUGGAAAUACACUACCUACUCGUAAUUAUGAUGCGAAGAAAAUUCUUUGUCCAAUGGGUAUGAAGUAUAAAAGGAUACAUGUUUUUCCCAAUGAUUUCAUUUUAUAUAGGAAAGAGUUUGAAUUUUUGACAAAGUGUCCAAAAUGUGGGUUAUCACGAUACAAGUAAAAAAAAAAAUAGUGAAGAUAAUGGUCAGAUAGAAAAAAAUGGAUCUGCUUUGAAAGUAGUUUGUUACCUUCCAAUAGUGCCUAGACUUAAGCGUUUGUUUGCGAAUCCCAAAGAUGCUAAAAACCUUAGAUGGCAUGCAUAUGAGAGAAAAAUUGACGGGCUGCUUCGUCAUCUAGCUGAUUCAAAGCAAUGGAAAAAUAUUGAUCAACAAUUCCCCCAAUUUGGUAAAGAGUGUAGAAAUCUUAGGCUUGGUUUAGCCACUAAUGGAAUGAACCCAUUUCGUAAUCUGAGUACUAAUCGCAGUUGUUGGUCAGUUAUAUUGAUAAUUUACAACUUAUCUUUUGUAUUGUGCAUGAAGAGGAAGUACAUGAUGUUGUCUAUGACGAUAUCUUGUCCAAAGCUGUCUGGAAAUGACAUAGAUGUUUAUCUAAGCCCACUAGUUGAAGACUUGAAGUUUUUGUGGGUUGAUGGGGUUGAAAUAUUUGAUGCAUUCGCUUCUGAAACUUUUGUGAUGCGUGCAAUGUUAUUUUGCUCCAUUAAUGACUUUCCAGCUUAUGGCAAUUUGUCAGGAUAUAGUGUCAAGGAGCAUAAAACAUGUCCUAUCUGUGAAGAAAACAUUGCAGCUCAUCAAUUGGAACACGGAAGAAAGACGGUGUAUUUGCGUCAUCGGAGAUUUCUAAAAUGUAAUCAUCCAUAUCAAAGGUUAAAAAAAGCAUUCAAUGGAUAUCAAGAGAGGAACGAAGCACCAAAUCCACUUACUAGCCUUCAAAUUCUUGAAAAAGUUAAUAAAAUACCUGGGGAAUGGUGGGACAUGUUUGGUGAUGGAACUCCGGAGUUGAAGAGAUUUGUUAUUUGAAUUCUAAGCUUGACUUGUAGUUCUUCUGGAUGUGAGCGUAAUUGGAGUUCAUUUGAAAUGGUAAUUUAAAUUAUUUUUAAUUUAUAAAUUCCUUUAUUAUGUUUAUAUCUUCACUAAAAAUAUUAUAUUUCAUUCUAAGUUCAUACAAAGAGAAGGAAUCGUUUGCAUCAAAAAAAGAUGAAUGAUUUAGUUUAUGUGAUGUAUAACUCCAAGCUGAAAAGUAGAAAAAUUCGAAAAACUGUAGCUCUUCCAUUUGAUGACAUUGAAUCAGAUGAUGAAUGGAUAACUGAAGAGGCAGAUGAUGUUGUUGAGAUUGAUCAAGUUGAAGCUGAAAAUGAUGGUGAAAAUGUUCACUUAGAUGGAGCAACAACAUAUCCUACUCUAGAUGCUUUUGAUCUUGAUAAAAUAACAUUUGGGAACAAUGAGGAUGCACAACAUUCAUCAGAGGAAGAGUUAGAUGAGGAUGAUGAUGGAGAUGAUGAUGCCAUUAUUAGAGGAUUAGAGGAUUAGACAUAGAAUUUGAAAUUUCAAUUUAUGUUUUACAUUAUAUUUUUAUGAACAAUAUUUCUAUGAACUUAUGUAUUUAAAUUUAUAUAAUUUUGUUAUCUUAUUUGAAUUAGGAUGUUAUUUAUAUUUUAUUUUCAUGCAAAGUAAACUCUUACGAUUUAACGAGUCGAGUUUACUGGACUCUCACGAAUUUAUGUAAAAUCUCUAGUUUGACAACCUUAAUAUGUAAUAUUCUUACUAUAGGAGAAAAUUCUAAUGUCGAGUAGAUUAGAAGUUUCAUUUUUGUUGUUUUUCUUUAUGUAUAUUUUCCACACUUACACCGAAAUAAUUUUACUAUUAUAAACUUAUUCGGUUGUGUUGAGAGUAUCAGGAAAACAAUUAAACCAAAGAAAUCAAUAAGCCAAUUUUUAGGCAAUUGUUAGGCAAAAGGUGAAAAAUAGAUGUUUUAGGAUCAAUAAGAGAAAUCGACCAAAUGACUUUCUUAAGACAUUGAAAAAAUUUUGAUCGAGAUAAAAAUACAUUAAAAGAGGCUAAAUCAAGAGAAACAUGGAGAGAAGGACAAUCCAAGCACAGGUUAAGGCUGCUUCGAGAAAGACGUUAUAUACAUUAAUUAUUGCAUAACAUGAAAUCAACUAGGAUAUUUGACACUGUAUGGACAUUUUAAAACAGUUACUUCAAUUUAUGUAUUUUUUAUUUUAUUUUAUUUUGUUUUGUCGAUACACUUUCAAAAGUACACUUUCAAAGAGUGUAAUAACAUUGUGAACAUAAAAAAUAGCUAAUUCACUACAAAAAAGAAGAUAUUUAGCGGGGUUAUUGUGAGGAGGUUAUAAAACCCUCCACAAAUUAACAUUUUUUUAAAAUGAUUAUAAUGAAUUAUGGAUGGUCAAAACUAACGGGAGUUUUAAUUGUUUCAGGUUUAUAAGUUCUACAAGUUAAAAUACAUUUUAUUAUAUUAUUGCUUCCCUCCUACGUUCAAAUUUCCCAAAUCUUCCCUCUAACUCCCAAAAUUCCCCCCUUGUUCAUUGAAUUUUCCAAAUUUCAUAAUACAUUUCAUAUUCCUUUUUCCCAAUGUUCACUACGCUUCCUCUUCUGCGUUGAAAACCCUGGCGAACCAGCUUCUCUCCUCCGCCUCGGACAUCAACAAACCUUCCUCUUCUCCUCACAUUCCUUUCCCCUUUUUCUCAUCCUCACCACGUCCUCGAAUCCCUACUCUCUCUCCACUCUUUCUUCUGCCUCUUCUACCAAAGAUCCCUUUCUUCUCCGUCGUCGCUACCUCCGCGGCUCCCUCCACUGCUGACCAGUUCGAGUUCAUCUACCUCACCUGGCUACGCUCCAAGUUCGAUGAGUUCCUUAAGUCACUCAUCGACAUUCUUGCCUCGCCAUAAUCUGACAAGACGCUCAAGGAACUCGUGUUGGAUACGCUCAUGGAGUUCGUGAAGGUGGCCAAUGGCAGCACCUUCCACUCUGCUUUGUAUCACAAACUUCUACUUUGCGUUGUACGUUAUGACAAUUUUGUUGAUAAAUGUUGUUGUUAUUGUUGUUUCGAUAUGAUUUUGUUGGUUUUGGACUGAUGCUAUCAGGUUCAUUUUCUUCUAAUCUAUGGAUUCUGAAAAAGCAUUAGAGCUUGUUAAGCAAGGUGUCACUCUUCUCUUCCUCGAUGUUCCUCAGUACACCAUGGUCGCCAUCGAUACUCAGGUACUUCAUUCUUCUAUUAUUUUCUGGACUGCCAAGUGACUGUCUUUUUAUUUUCUUUUUUCUUUCAAUGCUGUCAUCAUGGUAUCUGAAAAUAAAAUUUGAAAUUCGUAGGGGGUGGAAAGCUAAAAUAAAUAUCCAACUUUGUUUCAUACUGGCAAUCUGACAUUGUUUUCCUUCUGUUCUUCGUUUUGUAGACGUUCUAUGUGGGGCCUGCUUUUAAGGGUAUUAAGAUGAUUCCUCCUAGCACUCAUUUUGUGUACUAUAGUUCAUCAAGCAGGUUUGAUCAUCUUGCCCAAUUAUUUAGACUUAUUUUUUAACUUGCAUUAGUCUCUCUUUUGUUUAGUUAUUUUUAUUCCUGCAAAAUCCCAUGUUUCCCUUGUGGAUAUAUGGGGAGCCUAUUAAUAGAUUAAAGGAAAUGAUAAGAGAGUGGUGGGUGUUCUUGUGUGUGAUAAGACAUUGUUUUUCCUAUACUAUUGUCUUUUCUGCGAGUAUUAGUGUCCUUUCAAUCUUGUGUAAUGUGGCAAAGUGUAUUUUUUGGGAAAUAACCUUGGAUCAUAGUAUUUGAAAUGAUUUAUCUCUUACAUAUGGUCUCUCUAUUAUCAUGUUUGCUGACCAUAUAGUGUUAAGCAUAAGACGUCACUAGUUCUGUCAGUUGCUAGAAUUAAAUUUUUUCUUAAAUUUCAUGAUUUUUCAAAUUAUCUGGUGCAUUGAAUCUUUUGUUUUUCUUUUGGGGAAUUCAUGCAGAGAUGGGAAAGAGUUCUCACCAAUUGUUGGAUUCUUCAUUGAUACUGGCGCUUCAGAGGUAUAAAAAUAUUUUUUUUUUAUUUAGUGUUAGAUCAAUAAUGGUCAAGUAUUAGAUCAAAUUAGUGUUAUAGUUAAAUGAUGAGUACAACAGAAGAGAACGCAAUUUGUGCUACUAAAGUCACUUGUGGUAGAUGCUCUUAUUUAUGCGUGAUGUUUGUAGGAUUUUUUCGUUUUUAUAACUGAUUUUUCUUUUCACCUUUUCUGUAACAGUCAAUAGGUUCUCUUCAAAAGAAAUAUUCAAUUGGAUCGUUUGAAUUGCUAAGUAAAACUGCUCGUUUGAAUUGCUAAGUAAAACUGCUCCCAUUCAAGCACUUUUUCUUCUUAUUCUUGGUCCAUUUGUUGAUUUGCAAACAGAGCCUUCUGUAUUAUAUUUUGGAUUUCCCACCCAUUUGAACAUUUUUUCAUUGGAUAAUUUGUUUGAUUAUCCCUAUCAGAUGACAAAAUUACAAGUGCAUAUGGCAACAAUGAAAGUCAAUUGAGCUAUAAGUUAGUCAGACUUAUGACCGUUGCUUUGAAGCUAGUUCCAUGGUUUUCUAUUUCCAAGUUAAAUUGCGGUUGUAAUGUGUUUGGGAGAAAAGAGGUUUUGUGUUCGAGGCUUUUGGUAUGUUAUGCUUUUCUCUAAUCUUUGUAUAAUUGUAUGUUAUUGCCUUACCAAUCCAUUUCUUUCUUAUCAUUUGCUUCAAGGUUUGUUUUGAUCAAUAAUCCUAUCUAGUUUUUUAUAUAGAACUUGAUGAAAUUUAUGUUUAUGAUGAUAUAUAAAUAACAUUGUGUCCUUUAACUCGUACCAAGACUGAUUAUUAGCCUUUGAAUGUUCAUUAGUAUUUUAAAUAGAAAAGAAAAACAUUUUGCUUGAGUGGAUUGAGGAACCCAAAAGUAGGGAAGAAUAAGAUAUUAGAUAUGCUCUGUGCAAAAUAAAAAAAAAAACUGAUACAAGGAUAAAAAACUGUAAAAACCUAAGAGAUUUUGAAAUUUAACUCUAAUGAUAAAAUUAUUUUUCGAAAAUCCAUAAUAUUGUAAGAAAAUGGCAAUAAGGAUUGUUCAUUCUAACAAUUUUUAAAAUUGUUAGGGACUAGGGAUAAUUUUUUAUCGGUAAAGGUGUUCAUGGAUGACUGUCGGAAUAUUUAUAAAGUUUUUAAGAUAAUUUAAAUUUGAUAUGAAGUAGGAAUAAACUUUGAAAUUAUUAUAUAAGUCUUAAAAAUAAAUAAGAAAAUUAUAGUUGUUUAAAAAUUUUGGUAUAAAGUUUAAUGUGAACAGUAUUCUAGAAGGAAUGGUUCAAGAAUUAAAAAAGUGAUUAUUAGUAUUAAUAAGAUCAAAGGUUUUAUGUUCUCAUUUCUUAACAAACCGAAGCAGGAGCCUUUCUUUAUUUUGUCUUCUUUUGCAUCAUCACUGAGAAAAGAGCGCAUCUUGGUUUCCAAUGUGAAGGGAGCUUUACCAAACAAACAUGGCUACAAUAGUUGUCAGGAUUCUCGGUUCCAAUUCGCUGUCGCUGGUGUCAGUCCUUACUCCUCGACCUCCGCAGCGGUGGCGGAAGCGGAGAGCACGGAGGUGAAUUUUAAAAAAGUAGUGGUGGAGCAAUGAGUUGAAGGGAAGUAGUUGAUGAAGUGAAGUUGUUUUACUUCAAAGGGUAGGAAGCAAAUAUAGAGUUAUUGGUCUCAUGUUAAGCUUUUAUGUGUUAGGGAUUUUGUUUAGUUCAUCAACAUUAGUUUAUGUUUUUAAUUGAUCGAGUAGUGUUAGAUUUUUUUUGUCAAUCUUGUAAUGUUAUUUAAACAUUAUGUAUUUUUUUUUAUAUUUAUAUUGUAAUUGUCAAUGAAUGUAUAUUAUUUUAAAUUAUCAAUAAAAUUAAUUUUGAAUUAUUUUUCUAUAAUUUUCAAUUUUAUUAUAUAUUUUAUUAAGUUUUUUUGUUAUUUCUACAAGCUUGUGAAUUUAAUAGUAUAUAUUAAUACUAAAAAAUAGUGUAAAAAAUAUAAGUAUUUUUUUAAUUAAAUAGUUGAAAAUAAAGGAGGUUAAAAAUCUCAUAAAAUAAUAGUCAGUAAUAGAGGAGGUUUUUACCCUCUGCAGAAAAACCUCCGUAAAUUGAAUGUGAUAUCAGGAGUCAUGGAAAACCCCCACAGAUAGUUUGUGGUGACUCAAACUGCGACUGUUUGAAAAACCCUCGCAAAUUACGCGGAGGGUAAAAACCUUCGCAAAUCGAAAAAAAAAAAAACUUCCUCUAAAUAACAUUUUUUUUGUAGUAAUUCAGUGUUGGUUGUAAUAAUUUAGAUAAUUACUUUCAUUGAUUUUCUUCAUUCAUUUUUGUUCUAUUCUUGGUAAUUAAUUUAUUACAAUUCACAUUCAUGCAGACCCUUCACCCGUCAUAUUUUGUUCUCUAUACUAUCAUUGUUUUGAUUAAUCCAUAUUUGAGCCAACUGGUCUUAACUUUCGUCCUGUAUUUACUCUUGACUAUUUAAUUUUAUUAUCUUUCAUAAUUAUGUCACUAUAUUUUAAAGAAAUAUUUGAUGGGUUAUUUUUUAUAUAAAAUUGUUGUUUAAUCUAAAAAUUCCAAGUUCGUGUAAGUUACUUUUCUUUUCACAAGUCUUGGGAUAAGUUCAUCGAUUGGAAUAGAAUUAUUGCCCUAAGACUUUUCUCACGAUUUGAUUUAUUCUACAAAUACCAAAUUUGUGUUCAUACUAUAAGACGGAUAACAUUUCAUUUGAUUGAAAUUUCAUUGUUGAUGCCAUGUAAUUUGUAGUUUAUUUUAUGCAUCACAAAAAUUAAGUUAUUACCUUAUGUAAAUUGAAUAGAUAUUGUAAUUAAAAAAAACAUUAAUCCACAAUAAAUUUUAUCCGAAUUUUGCUGUUUACCAGUUUUAAUUAUAAUAGAUAAACAUGUAUUUAAGUAAUUAAAUAUUAUAAGGAGUUUGAGUGACAUUUAGGGUGAGGACUUGGAAAAUUGAAAAGUAAACCCAUAACAAUGAAAAGUAUUAGUGUAUAAUGACCCUCAAAUAUAUAUGACUACAAAAAAGAAAAACACUGUGAUUAGAACGGGAAAUAGAACACUUAUAAACUAAAAUAUUCAAAUAUAAUGUAAAAAUAGUUAAAAUUAAAAAUAUACCAUCCCGUGUUUAAUUAGUAAUUUUGCAUGCAAAACAAAUUAUGAAAAUAAAAUAGAAAAUUUCUAGAAAUAUCACUUUUAAAUCAUUGUUGCAGUAGAAAUUCACAAGGUUUACAAAUUUUCAAAUUUGAAAAAGUAACAAAGAGUUGUUGUUGUUGUCUUAAAUAUUAAUUAAUUUAUAUUUUGUUGUCUUAGAAAAAAGGAAGUUUCCUUUUUUUUUUUAUUGGUCAAUAUUUCUAUAUAAUUUGUAACUAAGAAAAUUAGCAUAGCGAACUUAUUACCUAUAUGGAUUUUUAUUAUUAAAAUAAUUUUUUUUACGUAGAACAAAAUAUUUAUAAAAAAAAUUAAAAAAUAAUUUCACAAAAUUUUAUGAAAAAUCGCACAAAAUAUAAAAUUUUCGAAAGGUAUUUGUUUUACUUCUACAUAGAAAUAACUGACGUUAUUUUGUUAUACUCAUAUGUAAACUGUUGGACUGUGUUAAUUUAAACUCUUUCUAUGUCAAAUUAUAACCAUCUUGCUAUUCAUAAAAGAAGCUAUUAAAAAUAUUACAACUUGUUAAAAAACAAUUGCCUUGUGAAAUGCAUUUUUAGAGUACUAUUUUUAUUUUAUUAUCUUUCGAAUAUUGGCUUUUAAUUUUAUCACUAUCACUAUUGUUUGGUUGAUUAUUAUUUAUAUAAAAUUGUGGUUUAAUCUAAAAAUUCCAAGUUCGUGUAAGUUACCUUUCUUUUCACAAGUCUUCCAAUAAGUCAAUUGAUUGUUGGAAUGAAAUUAUUGUCCAAAAAAUUUCCCACCAUUGAUAUAAUGAGGAAAGUGACAAACGGGGAAAUGUGGAGGGACUUAUUGUAACGAUGUCUCCAAUAAUUCUGAAAUAGAACAUCGUUAUUGACUUAGACUUUGACAAGUAUGGCCUUUUAUUAUUUGCGAUUAUUUGUAUUAUAUUUAAUUAUUGAUGAUUAAACUUUAUUGUGAUGAAUUAUGUUUAUUGUGACGUAGUCAAAAAUACUCAAUUAGUGAUACUUGAUAUUUCAUUGUAUCUGGGAUGCUUUAUCGAUAUAUGAUUGACUUUGGGUACUUUUAGAAUAAUAAAGUAUAUAUUUAUAUAGUAAUCGAGUGUUAUGAUUACUGUUUGCAAUGAUGAAACUUUGUUUACAUUAACCUCUUUAUUUGCCACCCGCUUAAUUGAAGUAUAAUUGAUAUUGGCCUUAUUUAAUUUACAAUUGAACCUUGCUUAGUUGGAAUAAUAGAUUUUGAUUCAAUUUUAUUAAUUUCCCUUAUCAUUUUAUUUGAAGUUUCCUAUUUUUCUUUUUAAUAUUUUUUAUAUAUUGUUCAAUUACCCCUAACUCAUUUACUAUAGCAAAGUCAUUUGCUAUUAAUAUGCAUUGAAGAAGUCAUACGAUAGCGGUUGUUUUCAAUGAAUACCAAUUUUACAACCGAAACAUAUUAAGGCAUGAUAAAAUAGGAGAAUUUUUUGUCUCAAUUAUGAAUUGAAACAAAAGUAUCCACAUUUUGCUUCGGUUAAAAAAAAUCAAAGCACUAAACCAAUAAUUAAAAAAAAAUGAGUUUUUGGCAAUGGUUGUGAAAAUAACAAAGGCCAUAGACCCUAUCUCAUUUAAAACAAUUAAUUAAUUUAAAAGACUUUAUGCCUUGAUUGGGAUGAAAACCAGUGCCAUAGACUUUUUCUACUUCAGUUAUGAAAAUAACCAAGAUCAAAAGUUGUUUUUUCUUUAAAUAUUUUUUUCUGAAAUAAUAUUUAGCUUCUUCAUUUAUGAUAUGAACCGAAGUCGAACUGCUUGAGUUUUGACUAUAACUGAAGCCUAAUGUUGAUGUGUUUUUUUUUUAUAUUUUUCUUGUUUCUAUUUCAUCUUACAAUGAUUAUCUAUAAAUUAUUAGCAUUGCUUCCUCUUAUAUUAAUUUAAAACAAAUACAUUUAUUCAAAAAUCUUUGAGACGUUAAAUAAUUUUUGUAUUGAAACUCAAACGAAAAAAUUAAGGUUGACUCAAUACAACAAUAUAUUUAAGCAUAUAAUUAAUCAUGUAUCCAACAUAAAAAAAGUAAACAACAUACCCAAAAAUUAUAGGCUCAUAUCAAAAAUAAAUUUUCAAGACAAUCGCACUCACCAUGGUUGAUGGAGACAAACAAAGAGCAACAAUGACAGCGAGCAACGAACUCAACGUGGCGUUAACAGUGAGGAACGAAGCAGUGAUGUCGGUCAAGCUGUGAUGAUGGCCUUCAAGUUCAGAGACGAAGUGAGUCGAGUAGUUGAUGAUGGAAGGAAGAAGAAAAUUAUGAAGUGUUAACUGUGUUUUUUUCACGAAUUUAACUCUGAACAAACAACGAUUAUUCGUAAAAUUGAUGCUUAAAGGCUUUUAAUAAAAUAAAAAAAGAUUAUAAAUUUGAGUGACAAUUUUAAUUUUUUGAUCAACAUUUGAUUUUGGUUGUCCAGGGAACCACAACAUAAAGUAGAUAUGACUAGGGGUGGGCAAAUCGAACUGAACUGUACUGCACUGCAAAAAACUGAACUGUAAAACAGUUCAGAAAAACUGAACUGAACUAUUUUUUUUUAUCAAAUUGAAACUGUACUGUACUAAAUUACAGUAUGAAAUGAACUGAACUAUUAACUGAAUUGUAAACUACACUAACUGAACUAUUAACUGAACUGUAAACUGCACUAACUGAACUGAACUAUUAGUUGAAUUGUAAAUUGCACUAACUGAACUAUUAACUAAAUUGUAAACUACAUUAAUUUUAACUAAAGUAUAAUAUAAACUGAACUGAACUACUAACUAUACUAAUUUUAAACUGAAUUGUACUAAUUUUUAAACUAAAUAGUAUAACAAUACAUNNNNNNNNNNNNNNNNNNNNNNNNNNNNNNNNNNNNNNNNNNNNNNNNNNNNNNNNNNNNNNNNNNNNNNNNNNNNNNNNNNNNNNNNNNNNNNNNNNNNNNNNNNNNNNNNNNNNNNNNNNNNNNNNNNNNNNNNNNNNNNNNNNNNNNNNNNNNNNNNNNNNNNNNNNNNNNNNNNNNNNNNNNNNNNNNNNNNNNNNNNNNNNNNNNNNNNNNNNNNAAAGUUUUUUUGACAAGAAGAAAUAGUUGAACUGAAACUAGAGAAGAUAUAAGAGCAGAUACAAUUAACUGAACUGUAACUGUUAUAAGUUCAGUUUUUAAAAACUGAACCAUAAAAUAGUAUACUGAACUGUUAGUAAAAGUGGUUCAGUUAUUUUUAGUAUAAUAUAGUACAGUUAACUGCAGUACAGUAUAAAUCAGUUAUUUUUGCCCAGCCCUAGAUAUGACAUCAGUUGUCCAAAUAACCAAGAUUAUAUGUCCUUUUGAGAAAAAUUAAUAAAUAAAAACAAUUAGAAAUUUUAAAAUUUUGAUCAAAUUUUUUUGACUCGGUUGUUCAGUAGAAAGUGGAUACGAUAGUGAUUGCUCAAAUAAUCGAAGUUUAGAUCCUCUCUAGAAAAAACAUAAAGAAAAUAACACAAAUUUUAAGAAAUUUUGAAAAAUUUGGUACAUCUUUCAAUCUCGAUUCUUUAUCAACCGAUGCCAUAUGCGCAUUUUAGAUAAAAAAAAAAGUGUGAUUUUUUAAAAAUUUUGAAAAUUUUGACAUAUUUAAACAUCAGGUGUGGAUUAAUCGAUACUAAAAGUGAUAUAUGUUUCAAUUAUUUUAUGACCAUACCUACAAAUUAACAAAAUUUUUAAAAGUGUCACCACCACCUUAUUGUAUAUGUUUCGAUAUCUUUAAAACCAUAACACGAGUUAAUAAGUUAAAUCUACAGUAAUUAUGAGAUGAAAAUAUUAUAGGAACAAGAUAGAAAUGAUGACAUAACCUUUCACUAUUAAAAUAUUUUCUUAAUAUUUAUUUGGACUUAAAAAUUGUUUAAAAUAUCAUUAAAGAAAAAUAUCUAUUCUAUGAAUUUUAUAUAAAAAAAACACUGACAAUAUACGAAUUGCUAAUUGUGUUUAUUUUCAUAGAAUAUUUUGCCUCUAUAUAAGAAUAAAAAAAACUAUUAAUUUGUAAUAAUUUGGACUCUUUCGUUAAGAAAAAUUAACAAUCUUGCAUUUAUUGAAAAAUUAUUCGAAGUCAGUUGAUAUUAUGGAAAUUAUUGAAAUCUUGCAUGCAUUAAUAACAUUACUGGAAUAUUAUAAAGUUGAAAUGAAAUGUCAUUAAUUUUUUUAUUAUUUAAACCGAAAAACAAAAUAAACUGAAUUGCAAAAGUAAUUUAAUGAGUCAUAGUUAUAAAUAAAAUAAGGGUUGUUUUAGUUCAUUAUUUAUGGACCACAAAAUCAGUUAAUAUGAAUAAAAAAAAUGGAAACAGACAAACACUGACGACGACGACUUAGAAUAAAGUAAGGGAAAGACAGAGUGAAAGGAUACGUAAUUAAAGAGUUGGUGAGUAUAAAUGUGGGUAAAUGCUAAAUUCAGAACACAUAUCAAUCUUAUUCUAUACCAUUCACUCUCUCUAUUUCAUCAUCAUGAAGAAUCUGAAAGUAAUGACGUUUAUGUUUGUGGUGAGUGUGGUGUUGCAGGUUGCUUAUGGACAACACCAUAUCAGAUGCAUUCCGAAGGAGAGGGAUGCACUCCUUCAAUUCAAGGCUGCCAUUGUCGAUGACUACGGCAUGCUCUCAUCUUGGACCACUCCCGACUGUUGCCAAUGGGAGGGGAUUCUCUGCAACAACCUCACCGCCCAUAUUAUACGCCUCGACCUUCAUGGAGAAGUUCAUUAUGAAUAUUUUUAUCGUUAUGGUUAUUAUGGAGUCUCUCAGCGUUACAUCAGCAGAGAGAUCCACAUGUCGCUAAUGGAAUUGCGACACUUACGGUAUUUGAACCUCAGUUUCAAUGAUUUUAAAGACACUAAUAUUCCAGAGUUUCUUGGCUCUCUUACCAACUUGAGAUAUCUUGAUCUCUCUUCAUGUCGUUUUAGCGGACAAAUUCCAACUCAGAUAAGUUCUCUUUCUCAUUUGAAAUAUUUCAAUCUUGCUCAUAAUUAUUAUUUGAAUGGUCCAAUCCCUCGUGAAAUUGGAAAUCUCUCUCUGUUGGAGUAUCUUGAUCUCAGUGGCAAUUCUUUAGAGGGAAGUGUGCCAUCUCAGAUUGGAAAUCUCUAUCGGCUGCAGUAUCUUGAUCUCAGGUACAAUUCUUUUGAAGGAGAGGUUCCUUCCCAACUAGGAAACCUUUCAAAUUUGCAUACACUCUAUCUUGGAGGAAGAUAUGAUCUCAAAGUUGUCACUACUGAUCAAUGGUUAUCUAAUCUUACUUCUUUAACCCAUUUUUCCUUCAAUUCCAUCUCUAAUUUUAACAGUUCUCCUAGCUGGCUGCGAACCAUUGCCAAGCUACCAAAACUAAGAGAACUCAGUUUAAUUGAAUGUGGCCUUUCCGAUCAUUUCCUCCUUUCAUUCAACCCUUCCAACUUCAAUUUUUCUACUUCCCUUUCUGUCCUUAGACUUUCUGAUAACUCCUUCACGCAACCGACGAUAUUCCAGUGGGUGUCAAACACCACUUCCAACCUUGUUGAGCUUGACCUUAGUUCGAACCUCUUGAAGGGUUUGACAUCAAAUCAUUUUGGCUUGGCCAUGAAUUCGCUUGAGCACCUUUACCUCUCCAAUAAUUUGUUCAAGGGUGAAGAUUUGAAAUCAUUCAUGAAUAUAUGCACCCUACAUUCAUUAUACAUGGAUGGAAACAAUAUGACCGAAGACCUUUCGUCAAUUCUUCAUAAUUUCUCCUGUGGUUGUGUUAGAUACUCACUACAGGAGUUGAGUUUGAGAAACAAUCAAAUCAAAGGCAUCGUACCUGACCUUUCAGUGUUCUCAUCUUUAAAGAUAUUGGAUCUUUCUGACAAUCAAUUGAGUGGGAAGAUACCUGAAGGCACUAGAUUGCCAUCUCAUUUGGAGCAGUUGUCAGUUAGGUUUAACUCUUUAGAAGGUGGUGUUCCAAAAUCAUUUGGGAGCACAUGUACUUUGGAGUUAUUGGAUUUGUCUGAUAAUAAGUUGAGUGAAGAUCUUACGGUCAUAUUUAAUCAUUUGUCUGGAUGUUCUAGAUACUCAUUAGAAGAAAUAUAUCUUGGUCAAAAUAAAGUCAAUGGCACAUUACCUGAUUUCUCAAUAUUUGCAAAGUUGGAAACGUUGGAUCUGCGUUUGAAUCAAAUUAGUGGUACUUUGCCUAGCAACCUCGCAACAAUGUUCUCAUCAUUAAAAGAAUUGUACCUUGAUAGUAACAGGCUAAAUGGGACAAUUUCUGAAGAUCUUCGAUUUCCAUUAGAACUUGAGGAAUUAUCCUUGAUGUCAAACUCUUUGAAAGGUGUGUUAACUGACUCUCAUUUUUAUAAUAUGACAAAGUUAAGGAUAUUGAUGUUAUCAGAUAACUCAUUGACGUUAGAAGUUACUCAGAAUUGGGCUUCAGCUUUUCAAUUGGAUAGUAUUGAAUUGAGGUCUUGCAAGCUUGGUCCUUUAUUUCCCAAAUGGCUAGAGAAACAAAACAAAUUUCAAUACCUUGACAUUUCAAAUAAUGGAAUAUCAGGUACUGUUCCAAAAUGGUUUUGGACCAAAUUUGGAUUGUCAAAUUGGAUGAGUAUUGAUAUUUCAUCUAAUAAUUUACAAGGUACGAUUCCAAAUUUGCCAAUAGAGAAUCAUUAUUCUUCUCUUAGUCUUGCAUCAAAUCAAUUUGAAGGUCAUGUUCCGUCAUUUUUACGAAGCUCAAUAUCUCUUGAUCUAUCAAACAAUAAAUUCACAAAUUCUUUUUCAUUUUUAUGUUCUACUGGUGUAGUUGAAACUUUAAACCGAUUAGACCUUUCAAAUAACAAAUUUUCUGGACAAAUUCCAGACUGCUGGACCCAUUUCAAAUCAUUAGCUUACUUAAAUAUGAGUCAGAACAAAUUUGGAGGAGAGAUUCCCUCUUCAAUGGGAUCACUCCUUGAACUUCAAGUUUUGUUAUUGAGAAACAAUAACUUAACAGGUAAAAUCCCUUCCAUCUUGAAGAAUUGCACACAAUUGGUGAUGAUAGACAUAGCAGAAAAUAGAUUAUCAGGAUCUAUCCCAAAUUGGAUAGGAAACAAAUUAUCGCAGUUGCAAUUUUUAAGCUUAAGAAGCAAUUAUUUCCGUGGGAGUUUACCGUUACAAAUUUGUUAUCUAAAAAGCAUUCAACUCUUAGAUCUCUCUCAAAACAACCUAUCCGGAGAAAUUCCUAAAUGCAUAGAAAACUUUUCCUCAAUGGCUCAAACCACUUCUUAUACCAGAGGUAACUAUUCACAUGAUUUGAACGCAAUCUUGAUGUGGAAAGGUUCAGAACAAAUGUUCACAUACAUGGAAUUAUUACUUUUAAAUAGCAUUGAUCUCUCGAGCAAUCAAUUAUCAGGAGAAAUUCCAAAAGAAAUAGAAGGUUUAUUUGGAUUGGUGUCAUUGAAUUUAUCAAGAAACCAAUUGACAGGAAAAAUUCCUUCAAAUGUUGGACAGUUAACCUCACUUGAAUUUCUUGAUUUGUCACAAAACCAACUUGUUGGUUCUAUUCCUUCAAGUCUUGUUCAAAUUGAUCGACUCACUAUGUUAGAUUUGUCACAUAAUUAUUUAUUUGGAAAAAUUCCAACUGGCACACAAUUACAGAGUUUUGAUGCAUCCAAAUAUGAAGAUAAUGUUGAUCUCUGUGGACCACCAUUAAAGAAAUUGUGCAUUGAUGGUGUAGCAAGACAAGAACCAAUUGUUAAAUAUCAAGAAGAUGACAAUUUAAUUUUCAAUCGUGAAUAUUAUAUAAGUAUGACAAUUGGAUUUGUCAUAAGCUUUUGGGGAGUGUUUGGCUCAAUCUUAAUAAUACGUUCUUGGCAUCAUGCAUAUUUCGAAUUCUUAACUAAUUUAUCAGACAGCCUUUAUGUUAUGACAGUAGUGAAAGUUUUGAAGAGAUUACACACAACAUAGCAGGUAAUAUUUUUUAAUAUUUUAAUCUUAUGUUACAAACUUAAUAUUUUUUCUUUAUUAUUGUUAUUAUUUUAAUAAACAAUUUUAACAAUAUGAUAUUAAGAUCAAUAUUGAAGGCAUUUUUAUGGUAUAUUGCCGUUUUUUUAAUUAUCAAUAUAUAAAUAAUUAUUGAUCAUAUUAUUAUUGUAAAUAGAAUCUUAAAAAGCACAAAAAGUAACUAAAAGAUUUUAGAUUUAAAAAUGUUUUUCUCUCCACGUUAUUCAUCCAUAAUAUUGCUUUUUAUCUUUGUUUUUCUUAUUUUUUAUUUCACGAUG
This 22486-nucleotide long non-coding RNA is filed under the name Vigna radiata. RNAcentral's name for it is "long non-coding RNA (VRAD_LNC015348)". The record is from RNAcentral. Lineage: Eukaryota; Viridiplantae; Streptophyta; Magnoliopsida; Fabales; Fabaceae.